Trichosurus vulpecula (common brushtail) is the source of this 193-nucleotide long non-coding RNA. RefSeq lists it as uncharacterized. The transcript has 3 exons. NCBI's taxonomy places the organism in Eukaryota, Metazoa, Chordata, Mammalia, Diprotodontia, Phalangeridae. The record is from RefSeq and is a predicted model, not a curated record.
GCUGAGUGGAACUCAAUGGAUUUAGAUUAAGGUUCUCCAAUUGGGUACGGUAAGGAAUCUCACCCAGGAUCAAAAGGGCCUUGCACUUAGUUGUUGUUAUGAUUGUCCUGGCGGUUAUGGUUGCUUGUCCUUUAUUUUUGAAGAAGACCAGUGACAUCACCAGAGUCAUCAAAGUCCAGCAGAAGGACAAAGG